Molecule: ribosomal RNA, 253 nt
Filed under: uncultured bacterium
Lineage: Bacteria
Description: partial 16S ribosomal RNA
Rfam family: Bacterial small subunit ribosomal RNA
Source: RNAcentral
UACGGGGGGGGCAAGCGUUGUUCGGAAUUACUGGGCGUAAAGGGCUCGUAGGUGGCCAACUAAGUCAGACGUGAAAUCCCUCGGCUUAACCGGGGAACUGCGUCUGAUACUGGAUGGCUUGAGUUCGGGAGAGGGAUGCGGAAUUCCAGGUGUAGCGAUGAAAUGCGUAGAUAUCUGGAGGAACACCGGUGGCGAAGGCGGCAUCCUGGACCGACACUGACACUGAGGAGCGAAAGCCAGGGGAGCAAACGGG